This is an RNA transcript of Amaranthus tricolor (Joseph's coat), 1694 nucleotides long. It is a transcript of the gene named probable sugar phosphate/phosphate translocator At3g11320, with no coding region annotated. The record is from RefSeq and is a predicted model, not a curated record. The transcript is spliced from 5 exons. NCBI's taxonomy places the organism in Eukaryota, Viridiplantae, Streptophyta, Magnoliopsida, Caryophyllales, Amaranthaceae.
CACACUCAAUCCACUUAAAGCUGGCGCCUUAUUUUGAUCAUCAUCAUCGUCACUUCGUCAGCAUCAAUUCUUUCUCAUUGCCAUUUAAAUCAUAGAGUAAUUACCUUCUUUCUCUCCUGAAACACCCUAAUUUUCUCUCUCCUCUCCUAUUCUCUCACAUUGAUGUUCUUCCUACUUCCAUUCGCCCCAAAUAAACCUAAUUUUGUUUACUAAAUCAAUCAAAAUCAAUGAAAUUCACCGGAAAACUUUUCACGGUUGGAUUGAUUACCUUUUGGUAUUCAUCAAAUAUUGGCGUAAUCUUAUUAAACAAGUACUUAUUAAGCAAUUAUGGAUUUAAAUAUCCGAUUUUCCUUACAAUGUGUCAUAUGACUGCUAGUUCUCUUCUUAGUUAUAUUGCCAUUGUAUGGUUAAAGGUUGUACCAAUGCAAACAAUUCGAUCUCGUGUUCAAUUUGCGAAGAUCACUGCACUUUCUGCAAUUUUUUGUGCUUCUGUUGUUAGCGGUAAUAUUUCUCUUCGUUAUCUUCCUGUAUCUUUCAAUCAGGCUGUUGGUGCAACGACGCCGUUUUUCACUGCCAUUUUUGCCUAUUUGAUGACCUUUAAAAGAGAAGGAUGGCUCACUUAUAUCACUCUUAUUCCUGUUGUUACCGGUGUCAUCAUUGCUACUGGGGGAGAACCUAUGUUCAAUUUAUUUGGGUUUAUAAUGUGUGUUGGAGCAACUGCUGCACGAGCCUUUAAGACAGUACUUCAAGGGAUUUUACUAUCUUCUGAUUCGGAGAAGCUGAAUUCUAUGAAUCUUCUAAUGUACAUGGCUCCCAUAGCUGUUGUGUGCCUUAUUCCAGCAGCACUCACACUGGAGAAAAAUGUAGUUGGGAUCACAGUAGCUCUUGCCAGAGAAGAUCGCAGCAUUGUUUGGUAUUUGCUCUUUAAUUCUGCUCUUGCCUACUUUGUGAAUUUAACGAACUUUUUGGUGACCAAACACACCAGUGCAUUGACUCUCCAGGUAUUAGGAAAUGCCAAGGGAGCUGUUGCUGUUGUUGUCUCAAUAUUGAUAUUUAGGAAUCCUGUAUCGGUGACAGGAAUGCUCGGUUACUGCCUAACUGUUAUUGGAGUUGUUCUCUACAGUGAAGCCAAAAAGCGCAGCAAAUGAAAAUGUUUGGGUAUACAGAUCUGUCGUUCAUCAGAUUUAGGCCACCCAAUGUGAUGCAUGCAGUCUUCAUUUAGAGGGACGUGCGUAACACAGGAAUACAGGAUCAUGAGUUUUACUAUUACUGCUGUAAGUAGGUUCUGUAGUCUUUAUAAUACCUCAAUGUGAUAAUAUUUAAUUUGUUUAGGGAAUAUCACUGGAUUCUUAAAUCACAAAUUUUUGUUCUGUUUGAAAUCCUCAAACAAAAGAAACAAAGAAAUGCUUAAAUAAUUCCUAGGGGGUUUCCAUUUACCUUAGGUCAAGUUUAAAUAAGGUCUCGUGUUCAUUUUGGUUUUUAAAUAAUUGCAAAAACACUUACCAAGUCGGAUUAAAUUAAGUUCGUUUACAAGAUCGGAUAAAUGUCGAAUCAUUGAGUCUGCUUUGAACAUCUUUAGCAGUAACUGUUAUGUGUGAAUGUGUGCAGCACAGCAAUUUAGGAGUAAUUUAUCGAUAUAUAUUCACACAUCCAGACUCCUUAUUGACUAAUGAAAUAUUAUUAGUCUAAAAUGA